GACGAACGCUGGCGGCGUGCCUAAUACAUGCAAGUCGAACGCAGUGGGGACGGGUGAGUAACACGUGGGUAACCUCCCAUCAGAGGGGAUAACCCUUGGCAACAGGUGCUAAACCGAUACUGAUUGAUGGACCCGCGGGGCAUUAGCUAGUUGGUGAGGUAAAGGCUCACCAAGGCCACGAUGCAUAGCCGACCGGAGAGGGUGAUCGGCCACACUGGGACUGAGACACGGCCCAGACUCCUACGGGAGGCAGCAGUAGGUAAUCUUCGGCAAUGGACGAAAGUCUGACCGAGCAACGCCGCGUGAGUGAAGAAGGUUUUCGGAUCGUAAAACUCUGUUGUUAGAGAAGCGGUAUCUAACCAGAAAGCCACGGCUAACUACGUGCCAGCCGCCGCGGUAAUUC
This 403-nucleotide ribosomal RNA is filed under the name uncultured bacterium. RNAcentral describes it as "partial 16S ribosomal RNA". It matches the Rfam family "Bacterial small subunit ribosomal RNA", at positions 28 to 526 of the family's 1533-position model. The record is from RNAcentral.